GGGUUCGUAGCUUAAUUGGAAAGCAUCUAGCUGGCCGCUAGAAAGAUAUCGGUUCAAGUCCGAUCGCAAUCCACCA
This 76-nucleotide transfer RNA is filed under the name Microcoleus sp. SM1_3_4. RNAcentral describes it as "tRNA-Ala". It matches the Rfam family "tRNA". Rfam says of the family: Transfer RNA (tRNA) molecules are approximately 80 nucleotides in length. Their secondary structure includes four short double-helical elements and three loops (D, anti-codon, and T loops). The record is from RNAcentral. Lineage: Bacteria; Bacillati; Cyanobacteriota; Cyanophyceae; Oscillatoriales; Microcoleaceae.